Molecule: ribosomal RNA, 458 nt
Filed under: uncultured bacterium
Lineage: Bacteria
Description: partial 16S ribosomal RNA
Rfam family: Bacterial small subunit ribosomal RNA
Source: RNAcentral
CCUACGGGGGGCAGCAGUGAGGAAUAUUGGUCAAUGGGCGAGAGCCUGAACCAGCCAAGUCGCGUGAGGGAGUACUGCCCUAUGGGUUGUAAACCUCUUUUGUCGGGGAGCAAAAGCCGGACGUGUCCGGCUGUGAGAGUACCCGGAGAAAAAGCAUCGGCAAACUCCGUGCCAGCAGCCGCGGUAAUACGGGGGAUGCGAGCGUUAUCCGGAUUUAUUGGGGUUAAAGGGUGCGCAGGCGGAUUUUUAAGUCAGCGGUCAAAUCGUGGGGCUCAACCCCCUCCAGCCGGUGAAACUGGGGAUCUAGAGUGUGCGAGAGGUAUGCGGAAUGCGUGGGGUAGCGGUGAAAUGCAUAGAUAUCACGCAGAACCCCGAUUGCGAAGGCAGCAUACCGGUGCACAACUGACGCUCAGGCACGAAAGCGUGGGUAUCGAACAGGAUUAGAUACCCUAGUAGUC